CCUGGCCAAGAGGGCAAAGAAACUAAGCGCAUACGGGCCGUCACCGAGGAUGACGGCUCAAAAACACAUCCACCCAAAGGGAAGAAAAGUGCAAGAAACGCAAAGGCUUCGAUGCAGAACUUGUGGGACACCAGCCGAAGGCCGUGAAAAAAUUCCGAUAUGGUUAUGUAGCAAGAGGGGUAAAGGAAGGGGCAAAAAGAAGUGGUCUUUGAGUUGUAAACUUGCUUUGAAAAGCUUCUUACAUCAGUAAUGGUACAGACUGAUUUGAAAAGAGUCAAGAAAAUUCAGCAUCAUUCCACUCUGCAAAUGUUGGUGACUAACGGAACUGACCGGCGCAACUUCCCGUGGAAGUCGUCUAAGGGAUUUGCAAGCGUAGAGCUUCAUAGCCUUCCUACAAGGAAAAAGUACAGAUGGGUCUGGUCAAGAGCAAAGGUCCUGUAAAAAAAUUCAAGUCGAAGAGUCGAUACAGGAGAAAAUAAUUAUGAAACUACAGAACUGGUCUGCAUUUGGAGCAAUUGCGAAUUGUGAAUAGACUCCUGCGAGAAAAUGUGUGGUGCAGAGUCAAUAAAAUACCUAGAUGGCUUCACACAAACACAA
Long non-coding RNA from Rhipicephalus microplus (southern cattle tick), 597 nucleotides. The record is from RefSeq and is a predicted model, not a curated record. NCBI's taxonomy places the organism in Eukaryota, Metazoa, Arthropoda, Arachnida, Ixodida, Ixodidae.